AUGUCGCGGCUGGGGUGUUCUCUUCUCCCUGCGGUGUUAGGCUCUGUUACGGAUGAGUCGAGAACGCCCCACAGCCUCCACUGCACCUCCAUUGGAGCUGUCGAGAGCAUCUCAGAUACCGAAGAAAUAAAUCAAUGCCAUGCAGAUCAUGCAUCCCGUCUGGGUGUCCAAGAGCGAAAGUCGGAUGUCAAUGCAUUCAAUGUAUUUGAAACAAUGGAUGUAAGACAGAAUCAAUUAGUGGAUAUUUCAACAAUGGAUGUAAGACAGAACCAAUGCGCGGAUCUGUUGAAAGUAUGUACUGUAAGCACAACUGUUGUAAUACCUACCCAGAAACUGGGAAACUGGGAAUCGGCGGCGCCUCCAAAACGGGAACGCGGCGCCGUCGGUUUCUGUGCGUGA
RNAcentral lists this ribosomal RNA (399 nucleotides) under Triticum aestivum (bread wheat). Its description in RNAcentral is "partial small subunit ribosomal RNA". Lineage: Eukaryota; Viridiplantae; Streptophyta; Magnoliopsida; Poales; Poaceae. The record is from RNAcentral.